Molecule: long non-coding RNA, 3811 nt
Filed under: Homo sapiens (human)
Lineage: Eukaryota; Metazoa; Chordata; Mammalia; Primates; Hominidae
Description: HSALNT0168984
Source: RNAcentral
AUUUCCCACAAAUAGGUAUUUCUAGCCUAUUUGUUAAAUACAAGUAGGUGGCCUGCUUGUAAAUUGCUUUACAAGUUUCAGAGGUUUCCCUAUCAAAUGUCUCAUCGGAUAGUGGGGUAAGAAGAGGAGCCCUAUUAUAAUGACUUGCCCAACUCCCCCCGUAUUCUUGGAGUUAAAAGAAAAAAAAAUCCUUGGGCAGAGACGUGCACAAACAUAAAGUUGCGUUUACAGACAUCAGUCAUGUGGGCUAGAAACGCAGUUUUGCAUGAAGAUAGGGGAAGCCAUGUUCAUACUAGCUCUGCAUCCCUGUAGAAUUUGUCUUCUCACCCCCCACAACAGUUCCUGGUGUGCUUUUUUCCUCCUCUAAGUACCUUCAGGAGAAAGUACUUGGUCUUGUAGCUUAGUGAAGAGUGGCGAUGAAGAAAGAUCUUUCAGCCCAUUGCCAGAACUUAACUGCCCCGGGGAGGAAAUUUCAACCUGAAAGACUUCAUAGAGACACGGCAAAGGAGUUGAGCCCCAUAAGAGUCCGUAGGAACAACAAAAGGCUCAGACGCCAGGACCCAUGGCUAAAAUGUAUGGGCUGGGGAUGCGGGCGGGAGCGGGGGGAAGGGAACUAAAGCUAGAGAGGACCUUGUAGAACCGUGUUGUCAAGAAUCUAUUUCAUGCUGAGGAAUUUGAGCUUUCUCUUCCAGGCAGUGAGGAGCCACUCAAAGGUUUUGUCUAUGUUUUUAAUUGGACCUAGGUGUAGAACUGGAUUUAAUUAUAAUCCAAUUCAUUAACCCAUGCCUGGCCCGCUGUGAUAGUUUCCUGUUGAUGCUGUAACAAAUUACUGCAAAUUUAGAUACUUAAAACAACACGAAUUUAUUUUCUUACAAUUCUGGAAGUCAGAAGUCCAAAAUCAGUUACACUGGGCUAAAAUCAAGGUGUCGGCAGGGCUGGUUCCUUGCCUUUUCCAGCUUCUAGAGGCUGCCUGCAUUCCUUGGCUCUUGGCCCCAUCCUCCAUCUUCAAGAAAAGAAGCAUAGUAUCUUCUUUCUUCUCUGCCUCUGUACGUACAUCGUGAUUCUCCUGCCACCCCUUUUCAUUUACGAGAACCUUUUGUGAUUACUUUGGGCGAAGAUUAUCUCAAGAUUCUUAAUCACAUCUGCAAAGUCCCUUUUAGCAUAACAUUCCCAAAUUCUGGGAAUUAGGACAUAGAAAUCUUUGGUGGACCAUUAUUCAGUUUACCGCACCCACCUUUAUUACUUUAGUUUUGAUUAUAGCCACAAACCCACCACACUAAAAAGUUAUAAUGACACGAGUUUAUAUCUGUAUCUAUGCUAUACCUCCUACACACAAUAACACACACCCCUGCCUUCGCUUGGGGUAACCAUCUUUCUGAAUCCUGUCUUUACUAUUUAUUGCUUUCCUUCUACAAGGUUUUAUUCCACAUGUACAUAGUCCUAAAAAUCAUAUGUAUAUACAUGUAUAUUUGAGUUUUUUUUUAACUUAGUAAAAAGAAUAUGCCCACUACAAACUAGAAUGGUUAAAAUGGGCAUGUUUACUGGCAGUGAAAUUAUUAAGGUUAAAAUCCAAAACACUAACACCACCAAGUGCUGGUGAGUAUGAAAAGCAACAGGAACUAUCAUUCUUUGCUGGUAGGACUGCAAAAUGUUAUAGCCCCUUUGGAGGACAGCUUGUCAGUUCCUUACAAAACUAAACAUAAUGCCUAGGUACUUACCCAAAUGAGCUGAAAACAUGUUUACAUAAAAACCUGCACACAAAUGUUUACAGCAGCUUUGUUCAUAAUCAUCCCAAAUUGGAAGCAACUAAGAUGUCCUUGAUAUAAGUGAAUGGAUAAACUGUCGUACAAGGUGGUACAUCCAUGCAAAGAAAUAUUGUUCAGUGAUUUUUUUAAAAAGAGCUAUUGAUAUGGUUUGGCUCUGUAUCCCCACCCAAUCUGAUCUUGAAUUGUACUCCCAUAAUUCCCACGUGUUGUGGGAGGGACCUGGUGGGAGAUAAUUUGAAUCCUGGGGGCAGUUUCCCCCAGACUGUUCUUGUGGUAGUGAAUAAGUCUCACGAGAUCUGAUGGUUUUAUCAGGGGUUUCCGCUUUUGCAUCAUCCUCAUUUUCUCUUGCUGCCACCAUGAUUCUGAGGCCUUCCCAGCCAUGUGGAACUCUAAGUCCAAUUAAACCUCUUUUUCUUCCCAGUCUGGGGUAUGUCUUUAUCAGCAGUGUGAAAACAGACUAAUACAGCUCUCAAGCUACAAAAAGACAUGGAGGAAUGUUAAAUGUACAGCACCAAGAGAAGCCCAGUGGAAAAGGCUGUAAACGCUACAACUUUAACUAUAUGACACUCUGGAAAGGGCAAAACUCAGUGGUUCCCUGGGCAUCAGGGAAGGAGAGAGGGAUGAAUAGGUGGAACACAGGUCAUUUUUACUGGUAGUGAAAUUAUUCAGUAUGAUACUCUCAUAGUGGAUACAUGACCUUAUGCAUUGUGAUUAACUGAAGUUUAUAUAUCAAUUAUGAAUUGAUAUACUUGUUAACACUAAUAUAAAACAGUAAUAACAGGGGAAACUAUGUUUGUAAUGGGAGAGAGGGCACAUGGGAACUCUGUACUUCAUGCACAAUUUUUCUAUAAACCUAAUACUGCUCUCAAAAGUCUAUUACAAAGGAAAAAAUUAUGUCCUUGUAAUCUUUUGAGACUGCUUUUCACUUAAUUAACACACAUAAGAUUCAGCCAUAUUUUAUGGCUAUCAUUCAUUCAGACUAUUAUAUGAUAUUCCAGUGUAUAAAUAUACUACAUUUGUCUGAUUUCUCAUUAAUGGAUAUUUGGGUUGCUUCCAGGUUUUUAUACUGUGAAUAAUGCUGCUAUGAACAUUCUUUUUUUUUUUUUUAACCUUUCUUUAUUUUUAUUUUUUUUUUUGUUUUUGAGAUGGAGUCUUGCUCUGUCAUCCAUCUAGAGUGCAGUGGUGCAAUCUCGGCUCACUGCAACCUCCGCCUCCCGCAUUCAAGCGAUUCUCCUGCCUCAGCCUCCUGAGUAGCUGAGACUACAGGUGCCCGCCACCACUCCUGGCUAAUUUUUGUAUUUUUAGUAAAGACGAGGUUUCACCAUGUUGCCCAGGGUGGUCUUGAACUCCUGACCUCAGGUGAUCCACCCGCCUUGGCCUCCCAAAGUGCUGGGAUUACAGGUGUGAGCCACCACGCCCAGCCAGCUAUGAACAUUCUUGUGUCUCCUGUGAUAGAUGUGGAAGAGCCUUUCACCCCUCAGCCAUUAGACCACCAGGGAGUGCAAGAGCUUUUCUUUGAUCUAUUUGGAUCUAUACCUAAAAGUGAAAUUGUCAGGUAACAGGGUAUAUGAACACUCCAUUUUGGUGGGUAACAUCAAACCUUUUUCCCAAAGUGAAUACACAAAUUUGUACUCCCAUCAGCAUCGUUUAAGAGACUCUGUGAGCGGAUCCACAUUUUCUUCAGUACUUAGUUUUGUAGUCUGACAAUCAAAGUAUUAGCUCAAUGUGGUCUUAAUUUUUACUUAAUCAAUAAAGUUGAACAUCUCCUCAUAUUCUGUUAACCAUAAGUUUCCUCUUCUGAAGCAUGCCCAUUGAUAUCUUUUGCCUAUUUUUCUAUUAUGUUAUAUGUGCUUUUCUCAAUUUUUUAGGAAUUUUUGAUGCUAAUUCUUUGUUAUAUAUGUAUAUUACAAAUAUCUUCUCCUAGUUUGUAACUUGUCCCUCUCUUUUUAAAAUGCUUUUGAUGCCAGGCAUGGUGGCUCACACCUGUAAUCCCAGCAGUUUGGGAGGCUGAGGCAGGUGGAUCACCUGAGGUCAGGAGUUCGAGA